This 256-nucleotide ribosomal RNA is filed under the name uncultured bacterium. RNAcentral's name for it is "partial 16S ribosomal RNA". It matches the Rfam family "Bacterial small subunit ribosomal RNA", at positions 524 to 776 of the family's 1533-position model. The record is from RNAcentral.
UACAGGGGGUGCAAACGUUGCUCGGAAUCAUUGGGCGUAAAGCGCACGUAGGCGGUUCGUUAGUGUCGGAUGUGAAAGCCCUUGGCUUAACCGGAGGAAGUGCAUCCGAAACUGGCGAGCUAGAGUAACUAAAGAGGAUCGCGGAAUUCCCGGUGUAGAGGUGAAAUUCGUAGAUAUCGGGAGGAACACCGGUGGCGAAGGCGGCUCACUGGCCCGGUACUGACGCUGAGGAGCGAAAGCGUGGGGAGCAAACAGG